Sander lucioperca (pikeperch) is the source of this 689-nucleotide long non-coding RNA. RefSeq lists it as uncharacterized. The record is from RefSeq and is a predicted model, not a curated record. The transcript is spliced from 5 exons. NCBI's taxonomy places the organism in Eukaryota, Metazoa, Chordata, Actinopteri, Perciformes, Percidae.
GCUAUUCUCUUAAAGAGACAGACUUAUGAACUACAGAGAAAGCUCUGCGUGGAGUCUCCACACAACCAUAACUCAAGAUUUAAGGCGUGGUCGUUUGAAAUAUCAGAGAGCACAGCUUCAGUUCCUUCUUUCUAUUUCAUUAAUAACUAACAAUGGCUGCUGCUGAACUGCAGAGACGAGAAGAAUUCCUGGUAGAGGGAGAGCCUUUCAGACAGAAUGCUUUCCUGAUUAUCAAUGAAAUGGUUGCCAUGGAGAGGCAGAAACCUAAUAGGGUGUUAGUGGAUGAGGUUCUUCACAGCAUCUUCUUUUUGGGAAAGAUCAACACGCCGCCAUAUUCACCCAGAAAGGAUUCUGAGUGAUGCUGAUUUGAUAAGUGAAUUUAAGAUCCGAUCCCUCUACCUUUUGAGAAAUGUUCCUCUGAGGUACCCAGGAGGAGUCCAUUUUCAUGUGUGCUCGACAUGGUUGUCGACCUGACUGGACAAGUCAAUGAAGGAGCAAUCAGACAGCAGCUGCAACAGCUCGUCGGUGAACUGAGGGGGGAUAUUAACAAAAAGCCUCUGGUCUCCAAAACCAUCUGUGUCUCUCAGAGUAAAAGCCCAGGUUCAGUCAGGUACUACGGAGUCUCCAUGUCCACUGAUGCCACUGGACCAAGAAAGUCCUGAUUGGUGCUUCCUGUCUCAGCAAGUGGG